GCCUCUAUGGAUCUUGUACUCAGAGCUUGUUCUUGUGCUGCCAUGAUUAGUGCCUCUGUGCUGUCUUUCAGUCCAGCUUUGUCCAGCCACUGGUAGGAUUUCUGGAUAUCAGCCACCUCCUCUAUCUGCCGGUGGUACAUACCAUGCAGGGGCCUGUCCUUCCAUGAUGGUUCCUCGCCUUCCUCCUCUUUCUUGGGUUUCUGCUGCCUGAGGUAUUCACUGAGCACGCUGUCAGUUGGGGCCAUCUUCGUGAUGUAUUCGUGGAUGUUUCUUGUCUCAUCCUGGACUGUGGUGCUGACACUCACCAGUCCCCGGCCCCCUUCCUUCCGCUUAGCGUACAGCCUCAGGGUGCUGGACUUGGGGUGAAACCCUCCAUGCAUGGUAAGGAGCUUUCUUGUCUUGAUGUCAGUGGCUUCUAUCUCCUCCUUUGGCCAGCCUAUUACCCCAGCAGGGUACCUGAUCACGGGCAGGGCGUAGGUGUUGAUGGCCCGGAUCUUGUUCUUACCGUUCAGCUGACUCCUCAGGACUUGCCUGACCCUCUGCAGGUACUUGGUGGUUGCAGCUUUCCUAGCGGCCUCUUCAUGGUUCCCAUUCGCUUGCGGGAUCCCCAGGUACUUGUAACUGUCCUCUAUGUCUGCAAUGUUGCCUUCUGGUAGUUCAAUCCCCUCAGUUCUGACUACCUUCCCUCUCUUUGUUACCAUCCGACUACACUUCUCCAGUCCAAACGACAUUCCAAUGUCAUUGCUGUAUAUCCUGGUAGUGUGUAUCAGUGAAUCGAUGUCUCGUUCACUCUUGGCAUACAGCUUGAUGUCAUCCAUGUACAGGAGGUGGCUGACAACCGCUCCGUUCCGUAGUCGGUAUCCGUAGCCAGUCUUGUUAAUGAUCUC
Molecule: long non-coding RNA, 887 nt
Organism: Oreochromis aureus
Lineage: Eukaryota; Metazoa; Chordata; Actinopteri; Cichliformes; Cichlidae
Source: Ensembl